GCUCCCCUGGCGUAAUGGUAACGCGUUGGACUUCUACUGAAAGCCUUUCAUAGGUCAUGCGGUUGUAUCCAAAGACUGCGGGUUCGAGCCCCGCGGGGAGUG
Molecule: transfer RNA, 102 nt
Organism: Puccinia sorghi
Lineage: Eukaryota; Fungi; Basidiomycota; Pucciniomycetes; Pucciniales; Pucciniaceae
Rfam family: tRNA
About the family: Transfer RNA (tRNA) molecules are approximately 80 nucleotides in length. Their secondary structure includes four short double-helical elements and three loops (D, anti-codon, and T loops). Further hydrogen bonds mediate the characteristic L-shaped molecular structure. tRNAs have two regions of fundamental functional importance: the anti-codon, which is responsible for specific mRNA codon recognition, and the 3' end, to which the tRNAs corresponding amino acid is attached (by aminoacyl-tRNA synthetases). tRNAs cope with the degeneracy of the genetic code in two manners: having more than one tRNA (with a specific anti-codon) for a particular amino acid; and 'wobble' base-pairing, i.e. permitting non-standard base-pairing at the 3rd anti-codon position.
Source: Rfam